GGUGGGGGAUGGACUCGCGGCCUAUCAGUUUGUUGGUGAGGUGAUGGCUCACCAAGACGAUGACGGGUAGCCGGCCUGAGAGGGCGACCGGCCACACUGGGACUGAGACACGGCCCAGACUCCUACGGGAGGCAGCAGUGGGGAAUAUUGCACAAUGGGCGAAAGCCUGAUGCAGCGACGCCGCGUGGGGGAUGACGGCCUUCGGGUUGUAAACCCCUUUCAGUAGGGAAGAAGCGAGAGUGACGGUACCUGCAGAAGAAGCGCCGGCUAACUACGUGCCAGCAGCCGCGGUAAUACGUAGGGCGCAAGCGUUGUCCGGAAUUAUUGGGCGUAAAGAGCUUGUAGGUGGCUUGUCGCGUCUGCCGUGAAAACCCGAGGCUCAACCUCGGGCGUGCGGUGGGUACGGGCAGGCUAGAGUGUGGUAGGGGAGACUGGAACUCCUGGUGUAGCGGUGAAAUGCGCAGAUAUCAGGAAGAACACCGAUGGCGAAGGCAGGUCUCUGGGCCAUUACUGACACUGAGAAGCGAAAGCAUGGGUAGCGAACAGGAUUAGAUACCCUGGUAGUCCAUGCCGUAAACGUUGGGCACUAGGUGUGGGGAACAUUCCACGUUUUCCGCGCCGUAGC
This 625-nucleotide ribosomal RNA is filed under the name Brachybacterium conglomeratum. RNAcentral's name for it is "bacterial SSU rRNA". It matches the Rfam family "Bacterial small subunit ribosomal RNA", at positions 217 to 852 of the family's 1533-position model. The record is from RNAcentral. Lineage: Bacteria; Bacillati; Actinomycetota; Actinomycetes; Micrococcales; Dermabacteraceae.